This 365-nucleotide ribosomal RNA is filed under the name uncultured eukaryote. RNAcentral describes it as "partial 18S ribosomal RNA". It matches the Rfam family "Eukaryotic small subunit ribosomal RNA", at positions 592 to 976 of the family's 1831-position model. The record is from RNAcentral.
CAAUAGCGUAUAUUAAAGUUGUUGCAGUUAAAAAGCUCGUAGUCGGAUUUCGGGCGUUGGCUUCCGGUCUGCCUCACGGUACGCACUGGCGGUCGUCGCCUUUCCUGCCGCAGGCCGCCCUUCGGGGUGGUUCUCGGCUCGUUUACUUUGAGGAAAUCAGAGUGUUCAAAGCAGGCCUUUGCCAUUGUAUGUGUUAGCAUGGGAUAAUGGAAUAGGACUUUGGUGCUAUUUUGUUGGUUUGACCACCGAGGUAAUGAUUAAUAGGGAUAGUCAGGGGCACUCGUAUUCCGUAGAGAGAGGUGAAAUUCUUAGACCCACGGAAGACGAACUACUGCGAAAGCAUUUGCCAGGGAUGUUUUCACUGA